GAAAUGCGAUAAGUAGUGUGAAUUGCAGAAUUCAGUGAAUCAUCGAAUCUUUGAACGCACAUUGCGCCCUUUGGUAUUCCUUAGGGCAUGCCUGUUCGAGCGUCAUCUAAACCUUCAAGCCCUGAUUGGUGUUGGGUGCCUGUCCCGCCUCCGCGCGCGGACUCACCUCAAAUCCAUUGGCGGCCCCCGCGUCGGCCACGAGCGCAGCAGAAACGCGAACUCGUGAGCCCGUCCGGGCGGCUCCCAGAAGCUACACCCACCCAGUUUGACCUCGGAUCAGGUAGGGAUACCCGCUGAACUUAAGC
RNAcentral lists this unclassified non-coding RNA (305 nucleotides) under plant metagenome. RNAcentral's name for it is "partial contains 5.8S ribosomal RNA, internal transcribed spacer 2, and large subunit ribosomal RNA". The stretch from base 1 to 105 matches the Rfam family "5.8S ribosomal RNA", at positions 50 to 154 of the family's 154-position model. The record is from RNAcentral.